ACCCUUCCUUAACUCCGCUCCCCUUCCUUCCUUCCCUCCACUUUCUCCCCUCCCCUACCUUCCUUCCCCCCUUCCCUCUUCCCUCCCCUUCCUCCCCUCCCUUUCCUUCCUUUCCUUUCCCUUCCUUCCCUCCACUUCCUUCCCUCCCCUUCCCUCUUCCCUCCCCUCGCCUUCCUCCCUCCCCUUUCUUCCUUCCCUCCCCUCCCCUUCCUACCCUCGCCUUCCCUCUUCCUUUCUCUUCCUUUCCUUCCCCUCCCCUCCCCUUCCCUUCCCUGCUCUCCCCGAUGUGCCUGCAUUCCCUACCUAACAGUACUGGGCUCUGAGAACCAGAACUAGCCCACUGUGUUCAUCCUUUGAAGGAAGAUUCUCAGCCGAAACCAGAUCCCAGUUUCCCGUGGGCUUUGACGAGUCCUUGCCAAACACUGUGAGUGCUGCCGUUCCUCUUUCUGAAUCAGAGAUGGGAGUCUCACCAUAUUGCCUAGCUGGCCUCGAACUCCUGUGGUAAAGUGAUCCUCCCACCUCUGUCUCCCAAAAUGUUGGGAUUACAGUUGUGAGCCACCAUGCCUGGCCCUGUGAACCCAGUGUUUUAGACUUUCUGCCAUGGUAUUUGGCUUGACCUUGAGCUCCUUGUUCUGGUGCUCCAGCUGCUUCUCGUUCUUCUGGGCGUGGCUGCACUCCAGGUUCAGGGGAGACCACGUGGACAGAGCCGCUCACUGCUGCCCCGGCCCUGUUCUGGGUGAGCCAGGGCCCGGAGUCAGCUCCGGAGCCUGCAGGCAAGAGACAGCUGCACCCUGGACGCACUGACACCCAGCAUGUCACACUGCAGGAACACUUCAGGACUGGCUCAGGCUGCUUCUCGGAACCAUCACACCAGAGCCCAGAAGGCUGGAGCGUCAGGACGCGGUUGAUGCUGGAGUCUGCACUAGGUGAGGCCUUCUGAACUCCCCGAUGCCUGGGCCUGCACUUGCCUGUUUGCUUCUGUGUUUCCACUCACCUCUGAGCCUGUAUCUCCAUCAGUGAGAUGGGGCUGGAAGCACCCAGGACCUCCCCAAGAGGCGCCACCCUAUCAGGUUCCCACCCCAGCACCCUCGCAUGUAGCUGGCUCAGCUGGGUGCCGCCUGCCCUCACCCACAGCUUCCGCAGCUGCUUGAUGGCUUCAUCCCGGUUCUGGUUGGCUGAGUCGAUGUGCGCCUCCAGGUCCAUCUCCAGCUUCUUCCGGGAAGCCACUGCCAUGGAGUGCCGCUUCCUCUCGUCCUCCAGCUCUGCCUCCAUCUCCCACACCUGGAGGAAGGAACACCGACAGCUUGGAAAGCUGGACCCACUCAGAGAUCCUGCUCCAGCUCUGAACCCAGGUGCCUCAGUCCAGUUCUGCAGGAUCCGCCAGCCCUCCAGGGGCCAAUGGGGAUUACUGACCCUAAGAACUCUAAGAAAAUGAGUGGCUGACUCCUAGGACAGGGGACUGGACAGGGAAGGGGAGGCAUGGUCCAGGGCCCUAACACAAUCCAGGUGGAAGGAGAAAAUGAAAGCCUGUAUGAAGCCAGGGCAGCCCUGGCCCCCACGGGGUAGCAGGAGCCCAUGCACACCU
Non-coding RNA from Callithrix jacchus (white-tufted-ear marmoset), 1585 nucleotides. The record is from RefSeq and is a predicted model, not a curated record. Lineage: Eukaryota; Metazoa; Chordata; Mammalia; Primates; Cebidae.